UGCUGCCACCAUGUAAGAAGUGCCUUUCGCCUCCCACCAUGAUUCUGAGACCUCCCCAGCAAUGUGGAACUAAGGAGAUUCCUACUUACCAGUUGUUCCAUGGUCACAUUUUCCUUAUACUUGUAAAUCCACAAUGCUAAAUAUUCUAUCGGAUCCACUGGGCGAACUCUUGCCACUUCUGCAAGACCUUGAGUUAAACAGGCCCCAAGGUGCUUUUGAAGAUAUAUUGACUCCAUUUCUAACUCCUAAAAAGCAUCUUGGCUCAACAUAAGAAAGCCCUUUCCCACAGAAACAGCUGCCUCCAGCGUGAAGAAGGUGCCACAGAGAUGGAAGGAGAUUCCUUACCCACACCUGGGAGACAGCUAGCCAGCCAGCCAGCCAACUGGGCGGGGGCACCCGGGCAGGGGUGCCAGAUACAGUAUUGUAUCUGGCAACCUCCCGGGGCGCUCAGUGUGGUUUUCCCACCCGGGAGUCUGGAAGGGUCUCCCGCAGCCCGCAGGAGACGCAGCGCUCCCCGCUCAGGGGGAGCAGGAGGACAGCUGGCCGCUUUCGGGAGCCCCAGGCGCGAAGCGGCCUCUCUCCGCCUCAGGCUGCCAGGAUGGAAACUAACUACCUGAAGAGGUGCUUUGGAAAUUGCCUGGCCCAGGCACUGGCAGAGGUGGCGAAGGUUCGGCCCAGUGACCCAAUAGAAUACCUGGCUCACUGGCUUUAUCAUUACAGGAAAACAGCAAAAGCAAAAGAAGAGAAUAGGGAAAAGAAGAUCCACCUGCAGGAGGAAUAUGACAGUAGCCUCAAGGAAAUGGAAAUGACAGAAAUGCUGAAACAGGAAGAGUAUCAGAUUCAACAGAACUGUGAAAAGUGUCACAAGGAACUGACUUCUGAAACUGUUUCCACGAAGAAGACCAUAUUCAUGCAGGAGGACACAAACCCCCUUGAGAAGGAGGCCUUGAAGCAGGAAUUCCUGCCAGGUACUUCCAGUCUGAUUCCAGGAAUGCCUCAACAGGUUCCUCCUUCAGAGUCUGCUGGCCAGAUUGACCAGAACUUCAAAAUGCCACAAGAAAUAAAUUACAAGGAGGCUUUUCAGCAUGAAGUUGCUCAUGAAAUGCCUCCUGGCUCCAAAUCUCCUUUUUAGGUUACAGAAGGUAGAUGCUUCUGAUUUACUUCUCUCAAAGCUAGAAGCCAAGAAAAUGGCCAGCUAGAACCAAGAUUUAAGGGGCUGUAAAAGGCAAGUUCAGGGACUCUCCAGCCUACUCCUUUUCUGAAAAACCCUUAAUCAUGUGAACAUUUGAACUAGUUAUAGGAUAAAAUAAACUCAGAAUAAGGAUUUAAAAUAAGUAACCAAGUGGCUGUGACUUUUUCCUCUUGUUUUAUCAACGUUUUGGAGACUACACAAUGAAAACACAUCUGUUGGGGUGAUCAGACCCAACACCCGGCCAUGGGGGCUACAAAGUCCAGCCGAGUCAAAGGAAAGAGAAAAGACAAGUCAAGAGAGAAAGUGGGACCAGGGGGCCAAUGCUAGUAUGGAGGCUGUGAAGUCCCCAAGCUCUGGAAGCCCACACUAUUUGUUGGUGAUCAAACAAAGAAACAGGUGAUGAGGAUGUGGGAGUUGAAAGAAAGUGGUGUAUCAAGCGAAUGAACUACAGCUGUGAGGGUUUAGCAUUUUCUUUGAAACAUAUGGCUACUUGAGAUAAUGGGAGUGCUAGAAGCAAGGAGCCAGCAAGUCUGGACACAUUACAAAGGCCACAAGGGGUUUUAUCCUGGACCCCGGACAUGUUCCAAGCCCUGCCUCAACUUUUCUCCCAACACUAAGCUUUCCUCCCAACACACAUCCAUCUCGUGUGUUCAUGUCUUAACUUUUGCUUCACUUCACAGUCAGGCCUCUCCGAGUAUUUUUUACACAUAUCCUGGAGUCUACCUAUGUCACUGAUAGCAGAUAUUUUUCUUCAACAUAUAUUAUCAAUGUUUUAAUACUUUUCUUCAAUUUUAGUAACUGGUAAAAUACAUGUAAGAUGUACCAUCUUAACCAUUUUUAAGUGUACAGAUCAGUUGUAUUAAGUAGAUUCAUAUUCUUGUGCAACCAUCAUCACCAUCCGGCUGCAAAACUCUUUCAUCUUGCAAAACUGAAACUCUACACCCAUUAAAAAAUAACUCGCCAUUUCUCUCUCUCCCCAGCCCCUGGCAACCACCAUUCUUUCUGUCUCUGUGAUUUAGAUUACUCUGUAAGUAUGUUGUAUAAAUAGACUCAUACAAUGUU
Molecule: RNA transcript, 2254 nt
Organism: Homo sapiens (human)
Lineage: Eukaryota; Metazoa; Chordata; Mammalia; Primates; Hominidae
Gene: DYDC2
Gene name: DPY30 domain containing 2
Exons: 6
Source: RefSeq, marked reviewed